Molecule: non-coding RNA, 293 nt
Organism: Labrus bergylta (ballan wrasse)
Lineage: Eukaryota; Metazoa; Chordata; Actinopteri; Labriformes; Labridae
Source: RefSeq, a predicted model, not a curated record
GACAGAAAGGCGUUUUCCCCGCCCCCCCUCCAUCGGCUCGCUUCCCUAAAAUCUACAAGGACGACUUCAAUGUUCGAAACCCUGAGUUCUCAGAGGCUCCAGACUUUGCAGAUCAGACCGGUGUGUUCGAGUACUUCAUGAACCUGACCGAUCCUGGACCUCACGUCUUCACCUUACGGCAGGUUCUGACCCAGAGACCCGUUACCUGGGCAACAGAUGCUGACCAGACCGUCAGUGUCAUCGGAGACUACCAGUGGCAGAACCUGACGUGUCCUGCGACGUCUUCAUGGAGA